Molecule: long non-coding RNA, 539 nt
Filed under: Homo sapiens (human)
Lineage: Eukaryota; Metazoa; Chordata; Mammalia; Primates; Hominidae
Description: HSALNT0377336
Source: RNAcentral
AAGGCUCUUUGUUCUUUACCUAGGUCGACGUUUAUUUCUUUCUGAACUUUCCUGGAGGAUCAUCGGCCAUACUCCAGCAGAAGGGUGGAUUUGAAAAAAUAACUUCUCUCUGUUUGCAUCCUGUUCAUCUGCUGGCAUUCCUUCAGGCUCCUUACGCCGACAUAGUCUGUCCUGUAUUGAACAGUGUCCUCCAAGAGGAAUGUUGAAGUCCUCAGCCCUGGUAGCUGUGAUGUGAUCUCACAUGGGAAUUGGGUCUUAGUAGAUGUAAUCGAAUUAAGAUGAGGUUAUUAGGGUGGAUCCUAAUCUGACCGGUGGUCUUACAAGAAAAGGAAAGCACCAUGUAAAGAUUCACACAGAGACAAGAUAGCCAUGUGACAACGGAGAGAGAAGUUGGAGUGAUGCAUCUUCAAAUCCAGGAACGCUAAGGAUUGAUGGCAAAUACCAGAAGCUAGAAGAGGAAGAGGCAAGGAAGGAUUCUCCUCUACAGAUUUUAGAGAGAACAUGGCCCUGACAACUGCUCGAUUUCAGACUUCUAGCCU